ACAAUUUUGGAAUGAAACCUGAAUCGGCUUCGAUUUUGUCGUUCACAUGUAUACGUCAUAUUUUUACGUCACGAACACAGAAGAGAUCAGAAACUGCAGGACAAUUUUCAGAUGAAAGCAAAUGGCUAUUAUAGUACACAAGAUUAGUACUAAGUAACAAGUCUAGGACUAUGACUAUAAUUUAAAGCUCCUGGCAUUCUCCUAAAGUUCAUAAAAAGAUUGCGUCCUGUACUGAAUGUGGAUAAAAUCCAAACUUGUCUUAUGCUUUGGUUAACACAUCAGAAAGGGAGAAAUGUAUGAAAAGACUUGAAGGGAUAAAUGAAUUAAGGAAAACUAAUGAAGCACCAAAGAACAAGAAGAAUAGAAAUAUCUAAAUGUUAUCAUUUGAAAGAAUU
This is a long non-coding RNA of Magallana angulata, 395 nucleotides long. RefSeq lists it as uncharacterized. NCBI's taxonomy places the organism in Eukaryota, Metazoa, Mollusca, Bivalvia, Ostreida, Ostreidae. The transcript has 4 exons. The record is from RefSeq and is a predicted model, not a curated record.